UGGGGAAUCUUCCGCAAUGGGCGAAAGCCUGACGGAGCAACGCCGCGUGAGUGAAGACGGCCUUCGGGUUGUAAAGCUCUGUUAUAGGGGACGAACGGCCGGGUAGCGAAGAGGUAGCCGGCAUGACGGUACCGUAAGAGAAAGCCACGGCUAACUACGUGCCAGCAGCCGCGGUAAUACGUAGGUGGCAAGCGUUGUCCGGAAUGAUUGGGCGUAAAGGGCGCGCAGGCGGCUGUGUAAGUCUGUCUAGAAAGUGCGGGGCUAAACCCCGUGAGAGGAUGGAAACUGGACAGCUGAGAGUGUCGGAGAGGAAAGCGGAAUUCCUAGUGUAGCGGUGAAAUGCGUAGAUAUUAGGAGGAACACCGGUGGCGAAAGCGGCUUUCUGGACGACAACUGACGCUGAGGCGCGAAAGCCAGGGGAGCAAACG
Molecule: ribosomal RNA, 428 nt
Filed under: uncultured bacterium
Lineage: Bacteria
Also listed under: 1 other name
Description: bacterial SSU rRNA
Rfam family: Bacterial small subunit ribosomal RNA
Source: RNAcentral